GACGAACGCUGGCGGCGUGCCUAAUACAUGCAAGUUGAGCGCUGAAGGUUGGUACUUGUACCAACUGGAUGAGCAGCGAACGGGUGAGUAACGCGUGGGUAAUCUGCCUUUGAGCGGGGGACAACAUUUGGAAACGAAUGCUAAUACCGCAUAAAAACUUUAAACACAAGUUUUAAGUUUGAAAGAUGCAAUUGCAUCACUCAAAGAUGAUCCCGCGUUGUAUUAGCUAGUUGGUGAGGUAAGGGCUCACCAAGGCGAUGAUACAUAGCCGACCUGAGAGGGUGAUCGGCCAAAUUGGGACUGAGACACGGCCCAAACUCCUACGGGAGGCAGCAGUAGGGAAUCUUCGGCAAUGGACGAAAGUCUGAACGAGCAACGCCGCGUGAGUGAAGAAGGUUUUCGGAUCGUAAAACUCUGUUGGUAGAGAAGAACGUUGGUGAGAGUGGAAAGCUCAUCAAGUGACGGUAACUACCCAGAAAGGGACGGCUAACUACGUG
RNAcentral lists this ribosomal RNA (497 nucleotides) under uncultured bacterium. RNAcentral describes it as "partial 16S ribosomal RNA". It matches the Rfam family "Bacterial small subunit ribosomal RNA", at positions 28 to 507 of the family's 1533-position model. The record is from RNAcentral.